UUUGAGAAAGAGAUAGCUCAGUCGAUAAGAGCGUGAGACUCUUAAUUUCAGGGUCGCGGGUGUGAGCCCCAUGUCGGGCAAAA
This is a non-coding RNA of Podarcis lilfordi (Lilford's wall lizard), 83 nucleotides long. NCBI's taxonomy places the organism in Eukaryota, Metazoa, Chordata, Lepidosauria, Squamata, Lacertidae. The record is from the annotation of a GenBank genome assembly.